RNAcentral lists this long non-coding RNA (493 nucleotides) under Bos taurus (domestic cattle). RNAcentral describes it as "long non-coding RNA NONBTAT000484". Lineage: Eukaryota; Metazoa; Chordata; Mammalia; Artiodactyla; Bovidae. The record is from RNAcentral.
UUCACAAUGCAAAAAUGCAAAGUUUAUUUUCUUAAAUAAAAUACUAUAUUCAUAUCUAUACAAAUAAUUAUUACAACCAUUAAAAUGUUACAUUUACCAAUAAAAAUUUCAAAACUUUAAACAAGAGCAUGGUUCAGAAUAUUCACACCCUAAUACAAUGCAUUUGUAAAAAGAUGUCAAAAUAAACAGGACCUAUUCUUAUUUACAACUGUAGGACAAUCCUGGCCAUAUUAUACAUAUCUGCUCUGAAUUCAUUACAAAACAAAUUAGUUCCCAUUAGAAUUAUAAACCAGGUGAUUUACAGUAAUAGGACACAGUGCACAGCAGACAGUGCUGGCAUGGGAAUAGAUACAAAUAUUACAUAUACUGAAAGCACUACAGUUAGGUUUUUUCUGGUGACUGCCCUACAGUAAGCUUCUCACCCAGUGUAUCUAUAAAUAAUGUGUGAAGGUAACUAUGUGCUCAGACUUCUCCACCCACUUUUACUGAAAUG